Molecule: ribosomal RNA, 478 nt
Filed under: uncultured bacterium
Lineage: Bacteria
Description: bacterial SSU rRNA
Rfam family: Bacterial small subunit ribosomal RNA
Source: RNAcentral
AGGAAAUAGAUACCCCGGGUAGUCCAUGCCAUAAACGAUGAUCACUUGGUGUUGGAGGUAUUGACCCCUUCAGUGCCGAAAGCUAACGCGUUAAGUGAUCCGCCUGGGGAGUACGGUCGCAAGAUUAAAACUCAAAGAAAUUGACGGGGGCCCGCACAAGCGGUGGAGCAUGUGGUUUAAUUCGAUGCAACGCGAAGAACCUUACCUAGAUUUGACAUGGAUUGGAAGGGUGGCAGAAAUGUCCCCGCCCGCAAGGGCCGAUUCACAGGUGCUGCAUGGCUGUCGUCAGCUCGUGUCGUGAGAUGUUGGGUUAAAGUCCCGCAACGAGCGCAACCCCUAUGUUUAGUUGCCAGCAUUCAGUUGGGCACUCUAGACAGACUGCCGACGUUAAGUCGGAGGAAGGUGGGGAUGACGUCAAGUCCUCAUGGCCUUUAUAUCUAGGGCCACACACGUGCUACAAUGGUAGGUACAAAGGGAA